CCGGUGACUAUGGCCAGAGGGUCACACCUGUUCCCAUCCCGAACACAGAAGUUAAGCCUCUGAUGCGCCUAUGGUACUGCCGGGCUUCCCGGUGGGAGAGUGGGUCGUCGCCGGAA
Molecule: ribosomal RNA, 116 nt
Filed under: SAR324 cluster bacterium
Lineage: Bacteria; Deltaproteobacteria
Source: RNAcentral